RNAcentral lists this long non-coding RNA (288 nucleotides) under Phoenix dactylifera (date palm). Its description in RNAcentral is "long non-coding RNA (PDAC_LNC004425)". Lineage: Eukaryota; Viridiplantae; Streptophyta; Magnoliopsida; Arecales; Arecaceae. The record is from RNAcentral.
UUGAGGCAUAUGCAGUAGGGGCAUGCAAAUGGACAUUAGUCAACUGAUGUGAUUCUCUAAUAAUCGAUCGCUAGGAUUCUCCUUUGCAUGCGAAAAUCUUUUUUUGAGCAAAACGGUGGCAGCAACCACCGCUCGUUUCAUUAAAAUAAUGAAACGGGGGACACUUUGCAUACAGAAAUCCCCUAGUGCUAUCGUCUUUUGUGGUUCACCCAUUUGAAGUUUUGAGUGGUUAACAUGUUUGCAUCCAAGAAGUUUCUUGGAGAAACUACACUGGAUCUAAAUAUAAUA